GAGUUUGAUCAUGGCUCAGGAUGAACGCUGGCGGCGUGCCUAAUACAUGCAAGUCGAGCGGAGUUGAGAAGCUUGCUUCUCAACUCAGCGGCGGACGGGUGAGUAACACGUGGGUAACCUGCCCUUAAGACUGGGAUAACACCGAGAAAUCGGUGCUAAUACCGGAUAAUUUGUUUGAUCGCAUGAUUGAACAAUGAAAGGUGGCUUCGGCUAUCACUUAAGGAUGGACCCGCGGCGUAUUAGCUAGUUGGUGAGGUAAUGGCUCACCAAGGCAACGAUACGUAGCCGACCUGAGAGGGUGAUCGGCCACACUGGGACUGAGACACGGCCCAGACUCCUACGGGAGGCAGCAGUAGGGAAUCUUCCGCAAUGGACGAAAGUCUGACGGAGCAACGCCGCGUGAGUGAUGAAGGCUUUCGGGUCGUAAAACUCUGUUGUUAGGGAAGAACAAGUACCGUUCGAAUAGGGCGGUACCUUGACGGUACCUAACCAGAAAGCCACGGCUAACUACGUGCCAGCAGCCGCGGUAAUACGUAGGUGGCAAGCGUUAUCCGGAAUUAUUGGGCGUAAAGCGCGCGCAGGUGGUUCCUUAAGUCUGAUGUGAAAGCCCACGGCUCAACCGUGGAGGGUCAUUGGAAACUGGGGAACUUGAGUGCAGGAGAGGAAAGUGGAAUUCCAGUGU
Molecule: ribosomal RNA, 682 nt
Filed under: uncultured bacterium
Lineage: Bacteria
Description: bacterial SSU rRNA
Rfam family: Bacterial small subunit ribosomal RNA
Source: RNAcentral